RNAcentral lists this ribosomal RNA (253 nucleotides) under uncultured bacterium. RNAcentral's name for it is "partial 16S ribosomal RNA". It matches the Rfam family "Bacterial small subunit ribosomal RNA", at positions 524 to 776 of the family's 1533-position model. The record is from RNAcentral.
UACGGAGGGUGCGAGCGUUGUCCGGAAUCACUGGGCGUAAAGGGAGCGUAGGCGGGCUUCUAAGUUAGGUGUUUAAUCCCAGGGCCCAACCCUGGUCAGGCACCUAAAACUGGGAGUCUUGAAUAGUGGAGAGGACGAUGGAAUUGGGGGUGUAGCGGUGGAAUGCGUAGAGAUCCCCAAGAACACCAGUUGCGAAGGCGGUCGUCUGGACACAUAUUGACGCUGAGGCUCGAAAGCAUGGGGAGCAAACAGG